Molecule: ribosomal RNA, 433 nt
Filed under: uncultured bacterium
Lineage: Bacteria
Description: partial 16S ribosomal RNA
Rfam family: Bacterial small subunit ribosomal RNA
Source: RNAcentral
AACGAACGCUGGCGGCAUGCCUAACACAUGCAAGUCGAACGAGACCUUCGGGUCUAGUUGCGCACGGGUGCGUAACGCGGGGGAACCUGCCCUUAGGUUCGGAAUAACUCCCCGAAAGGGGUGCUAAUACCGGAUAAUGUCUUCGGACCAAAGAUUUAUCGCCGUUGGAUGGGCGCGCGUUGGAUUAGCUAGUUGGUAGGGUAAAAGCCUACCAAGGCGACGAUCCAUAGCUGGUCUGGGAGGAUGACCAGCCAGACUGGGACUGAGACACGGCCCAGACUCCUACGGGAGGCAGCAGGAGGGAAUAUUGGACAACGGGCGAAAGACUGAGCCAGCAAUGCCGCGUGAGUGAUGAAGGCCUUAGGGUUGUAAAGCUCUUUUAUCCGGGAUGAUAAUGACAGUACCGGGAGAAUAAGCUCCGGCUAACUCCGUG